AACCUGUACAUCAAAAUUGCAAAAUAAAUUUUUAUACAUUUUUACUGUUUUGGUUGGUAUUAUUUUAUAAUUUUAAUCGUCUAAGUGAAAAUAUCUUGUUUACAAACAAUAGAAAUAUGGAUAUGAAGAACAUUGAUGGCAGUAUAUUAGAAGGUGGUGGCCAAAUUUUGCGACUAUCCGUAGCCUUUUCAUGUCUUUUUCAGCAACCUAUUAAAAUUACCAAAAUACGAGCAGGACGAUCUAAUCCUGGAUUGAAAGCUCAACAUUUAUCUGGAAUUAAUUUGGUUAAAGAGAUGUGCCGUGCUAAUACAAAUGGAGAUCAAUUAAAUUCUUGUGAAUUAUCAUUCUAUCCUAAAACUUUAAGAAUGGGAAAUUUCAAUCUGAAUGUUAACUCUCAAACUGCUGCGAGUAUUCCUUUAAUGAUUCAGUCUGUGUUGCCUGUAGCAAUAUUUAGUAAUCAGAAUUCUUCUAUAACUAUGAAAGGAGGAACAGAUGUCAGCUUUUCUCCCUCAAUGGAUUACGUAACAAAUAUUUUAUUUCCUAUUUACAAAUUAUUUGGUAUAGAUUGUGAAGCACAUAUUAUUAAACGAGGAUUUUACCCUAAAGGUCGUGGUGAAGUACUGUUAACAGUUAACCCAAUUGUUGGUUAUUUAAAACCUAUUGAAAUUAAUAAAUUUGGAGAUCAACCAGCUAUCAAAGGAAUCAUCUUUAUAUCCGGACCUAAGCAUCAAAUCAAUAAAAUAAAUCAAAUAGUUAAAGAUAUAGCUAUAGCUGUAAAAAAUAAGUUAAAUUUAUCUGGUUAUCAUAAAGUUACAAUUCACACUGAAAUUGGAGAUUCAGAAGGUUCUGGUGGAAGUUUAGUGUUGGUAGCCGAUACAGGAAAGUGUUUGCUUGGUUCAUCUUCUCUUUAUGAUAUGAGAAAAUCAACUGUGGACAGUAUCACUGAUGAAGCUUGUCACAAACUUUUAUUAGAAUUGGAAGUUAAGUCUUGUGUUGAUGCUUAUACUAUGGACAAUCAAAUGGUAAAUCCCUAGUAAAAUGUCGAGAGAUCACUCUGCAUACUAAAACUGCCAUUCAUAUUGCUGAACAAUUUACUAAUGCUAAAUUUAGUAUUAAACAAACAGAAGAUGGUCUGAAUGAAAUUGUUUGUAAUGGCAUCAAGCUGAAAAUUAUUUAAAGUCAAAUGUUUGUU
RNAcentral lists this unclassified non-coding RNA (1192 nucleotides) under Sipha flava (yellow sugarcane aphid). RNAcentral's name for it is "rNA 3'-terminal phosphate cyclase, transcript variant X2". The record is from RNAcentral. Lineage: Eukaryota; Metazoa; Arthropoda; Insecta; Hemiptera; Aphididae.